This is a small nucleolar RNA of Erinaceus europaeus (western European hedgehog), 106 nucleotides long. Lineage: Eukaryota; Metazoa; Chordata; Mammalia; Eulipotyphla; Erinaceidae. The record is from Ensembl.
AUCCUUUGGUGGCUCAUAAGCAUGAUGACUGGGUUGCCACAUGCACAUGUUGCGUGAUAUGUCACCCACAAACCUUGUUAUGACGCAGCACAUUACCCAUCUGACA